AUACGUAGGUGACAAGCGUUAUCCGGAUUUACUGGGCGUAAAGGGCGUGUAGGCGGUCUUGCAAGUCAGAAGUGAAAUCUAGGGGCUCAACCCCUAAACUGCUUUUGAAACUGUAUCCCUUGAGUAUCGGAGAGGCAGGCGGAAUUCCUAGUGUAGCGGUGAAAUGCGUAGAUAUUAGGAGGAACACCAGUGGCGAAGGCGGAUUGCUGGACAGCAACUGACGGUGAGGCGCGAAAGUGUGGGGAGCAAACAGGAUUAGAUACCCUGGUAGUCCACACUGUAAACGAUGAAUACUAGGUGUGCGGGGACUGACCCCCUGCGUGCCGGCGUUAACACAAUAAGUAUUCCACCUGGGGAGUACGAUCGCAAGGUUGAAACUCAAAUGAAUUGACGGGG
This 396-nucleotide ribosomal RNA is filed under the name uncultured bacterium. RNAcentral's name for it is "partial 16S ribosomal RNA". It matches the Rfam family "Bacterial small subunit ribosomal RNA", at positions 523 to 918 of the family's 1533-position model. The record is from RNAcentral.